UACGAAGGGGGCUAGCGUUGCUCGGAAUCACUGGGCGUAAAGGGUGCGUAGGCGGGUCUUUAAGUCAGGGGUGAAAUCCUGGAGCUCAACUCCAGAACUGCCUUUGAUACUGAAGAUCUUGAGUUCGGGAGAGGGAUGUGGAAUUCCAGGUGUAGCGGUGAAAUGCGUAGAUAUCUGGAGGAACACCGGUGGCGAAGGCGGCAUCCUGGACCGGUAUUGACGCUGAGGUGCGAAAGCGUGGGGAGCAAACAGG
This 253-nucleotide ribosomal RNA is filed under the name uncultured bacterium. Its description in RNAcentral is "partial 16S ribosomal RNA". It matches the Rfam family "Bacterial small subunit ribosomal RNA", at positions 524 to 776 of the family's 1533-position model. The record is from RNAcentral.